RNAcentral lists this ribosomal RNA (627 nucleotides) under Streptomyces sp. D1437. RNAcentral's name for it is "bacterial SSU rRNA". It matches the Rfam family "Bacterial small subunit ribosomal RNA", at positions 56 to 701 of the family's 1533-position model. The record is from RNAcentral. Lineage: Bacteria; Bacillati; Actinomycetota; Actinomycetes; Kitasatosporales; Streptomycetaceae.
UGCAGUCGAACGAUGAAGCCCUUCGGGGUGGAUUAGUGGCGAACGGGUGAGUAACACGUGGGCAAUCUGCCCUUCACUCUGGGACAAGCCCUGGAAACGGGGUCUAAUACCGGAUAUGAGCCUGGGAGGCAUCUCCCGGGUUGUAAAGCUCCGGCGGUGAAGGAUGAGCCCGCGGCCUAUCAGCUUGUUGGUGAGGUAACGGCUCACCAAGGCGACGACGGGUAGCCGGCCUGAGAGGGCGACCGGCCACACUGGGACUGAGACACGGCCCAGACUCCUACGGGAGGCAGCAGUGGGGAAUAUUGCACAAUGGGCGCAAGCCUGAUGCAGCGACGCCGCGUGAGGGAUGACGGCCUUCGGGUUGUAAACCUCUUUCAGCAGGGAAGAAGCGCAAGUGACGGUACCUGCAGAAGAAGCGCCGGCUAACUACGUGCCAGCAGCCGCGGUAAUACGUAGGGCGCAAGCGUUGUCCGGAAUUAUUGGGCGUAAAGAGCUCGUAGGCGGCUUGUCACGUCGGGUGUGAAAGCCCGGGGCUUAACCCCGGGUCUGCAUUCGAUACGGGCUGGCUAGAGUGUGGUAGGGGAGAUCGGAAUUCCUGGUGUAGCGGUGAAAUGCGCAGAUAUCAGG